This 28-nucleotide non-coding RNA is filed under the name Mus musculus (house mouse). Lineage: Eukaryota; Metazoa; Chordata; Mammalia; Rodentia; Muridae. The record is from RNAcentral.
UGCUGCUUGAGCUUGGUGUCUAAUGGGA